This 512-nucleotide ribosomal RNA is filed under the name uncultured bacterium. RNAcentral's name for it is "bacterial SSU rRNA". It matches the Rfam family "Bacterial small subunit ribosomal RNA", at positions 89 to 636 of the family's 1533-position model. The record is from RNAcentral.
AGGGGAGCGGCAGACGGGAGAGUAACACGUGGGAACGUACCCUUUGGUUCGGAACAACCCAGGGAAACUUGGGCUAAUACCGGAUAAGCCCUUACGGGGAAAGAUUCAUCGCCGAAGGAUCGGCCCGCGUCUGAUUAGCUAGUUGGUGGGGUAAUGGCCCACCAAGGCGACGAUCAGUAGCUGGUCUGAGAGGAUGAUCAGCCUCACUGGGACUGAGACACGGCCCAGACUCCUACGGGAGGCAGCAGUGGGGAAUAUUGGACAAUGGGCGCAAGCCUGAUCCAGCCAUGCCGCGUGCGUGAUGAAGGCCCUAGGGUUGUAAAGCCCUUUCGGCGGGGAAGAUAAUGACGGUACCCGCAGAAGAAGCCCCGGCUAACUUCGUGCCAACAGCCGCGGUAAUACGAAGGGGGCUAGCGUUGCUCGGAAUCACUGGGCGUAAAGCGCACGUAGGCUGAUUGUUAAGUCAGGGGUGAAAUCCUGGAUCUCAACUCCGGAACUGCCUUUGAUACUGG